RNAcentral lists this ribosomal RNA (765 nucleotides) under uncultured bacterium. Its description in RNAcentral is "bacterial SSU rRNA". It matches the Rfam family "Bacterial small subunit ribosomal RNA", at positions 8 to 776 of the family's 1533-position model. The record is from RNAcentral.
AGAGUUUGAUCCUGGCUCAGGACGAACGCUGGCGGCGCGCCUAACACAUGCAAGUCGAGGGAGAACCGGGCUUCGGCCCGGGGAGACCGGCGAACGGGUGAGUAACACGUGAGGAACCUGCCUCGUAGACCGGAAUAACCAUGGGAAACCGUGGCUAAUGCCGGAUGAUCUCCCCACGUCGCAUGGCGUGGAGAGCAAAUGGUCAGCCGCUACGAGAUGGCCUCGCGGCCUAUCAGCUUGUUGGUGGGGUAACGGCCCACCAAGGCUUCGACGGGUAGCUGGUGUGAGAGCACGACCAGCCACACUGGGACUGAGACACGGCCCAGACUCCUACGGGAGGCAGCAGUGGGGAAUCUUGCGCAAUGGGCGAAAGCCUGACGCAGCGACGCCGCGUGCGGGAAGAAGGCCUUCGGGUUGUAAACCGCUUUCAGCAGGGAAGAAGCGAAAGUGACUGUACCUGCAGAAGAAGGACCGGCCAACUACGUGCCAGCAGCCGCGGUAAUACGUAGGGUCCGAGCGUAGUCCGGAAUUAUGGGGCGUAAAGAGCUCGUAGGCGGUCCCCUUAAGUCGGAUGUGAAAUGUCAAGGCUCAACCCUGAAACCGCAUCCGAUACUGGGGGACUUGAGGCAGGUAGGGGAAUGUGGAAUUCCUGGUGUACCGGUGAAAUGCGCAUGAUAUGAGGGAGGAACACCGAUUGGCGAAAGGCAUGCCUUCUUGGGGCCUGUACUGACGCCUGAUGAGCGAANACGUGGGGGAGCAAACAGG